Molecule: ribosomal RNA, 231 nt
Filed under: uncultured bacterium
Lineage: Bacteria
Description: partial 16S ribosomal RNA
Rfam family: Bacterial small subunit ribosomal RNA
Source: RNAcentral
GAUCCUGGCUCAGGAUGAACGCUGGCGGCGUGCCUAAUACAUGCAAGUAGAACGCUGAAGGAGGAGCUUGCUUCUCUGGAUGAGUUGCGAACGGGUGAGUAACGCGUAGGUAACCUGCCUGGUAGCGGGGGAUAACUAUUGGAAACGAUAGCUAAUACCGCAUAAGAGCAGUUGUUGCAUGACAGCUGUUUAAAAGGUGCAAUUGCACCACUACCAGAUGGACCUGCGUUG